AACGAACGCUGGCGGCAUGCCUAACACAUGCAAGUCGAACGAGACCUUCGGGUCUAGUGGCGCACGGGUGCGUAACGCGUGGGAACCUGCCCUUAGGUUCGGAAUAACUCCCCGAAAGGGGUGCUAAUACCGGAUAAUGUCUUCGGCCCAAAGAUUUAUCGCCUUUGGAUGGGCCCGCGUUGGAUUAGCUAGUUGGUAGGGUAAAAGCCUACCAAGGCGACGAUCCAUAGCUGGUCUGAGAGGAUGAUCAGCCACACUGGGACUGAGACACGGCCCAGACUCCUACGGGAGGCAGCAGUGGGGAAUCUUGGACAAUGGGCGAAAGCCUGAUCCAGCAAUGCCGCGUGAGUGAUGAAGGCCUUAGGGUUGUAAAGCUCUUUUACCCGGGAUGAUAAUGACAGUACCGGGAGAAUAAGCUCCGGCUAACUCCGUG
RNAcentral lists this ribosomal RNA (433 nucleotides) under uncultured bacterium. Its description in RNAcentral is "partial 16S ribosomal RNA". It matches the Rfam family "Bacterial small subunit ribosomal RNA", at positions 29 to 507 of the family's 1533-position model. The record is from RNAcentral.